UUAUAGCCGCUUUGUGCUUGUGAAAGCGCAGUAACUGGACUAUGACCACCAGAUGUCGCUUAAUAUUGCGUGGCCAUGUACACGUAUUUUUGAGCCGUCUGAAAAGUGGUUGCGUUUUUGUGUUUGUCAUGAUUUUUGGUGCUGGUUGGAUGUGCAUCGCCAUGCCUUCUCGACCCCUGUUCUCGAACCAUUGUUGCGGGCAGCUCGCAAACGCAGUUACCUGGCCAGCGAGCCCUGUCUUACUGCCCCAAGCCCGCCUCGCCCCGCCUCUCUCCUGCGUUCAGAGGGGAGAAGAGUUGCGAAGACACAGCGUUAUAACGUCCCUAAAAGUAGCGGGGCUUCAUCCGAGUAAGCGAACGUGGAAACGCGCAGAAGCGAACAUCCGAGAUGAAGACACCAUUCCGUGUCAAAUGAGAGUCCUCCAGGAUUUCCAGAGACCUGUCACUCCAUGAUUUCGUGACCUUGGACGUACUGACCUCUGAGGGAAUGUGGAACUGUUUCUAUGACUUUGAACACAUCUGUGCCCUCACAAAAAAGAAGCAAGAGAAGCAUUCCAGAGAUACUGUCAGAACUAGAGGAAAAGGAUUCGAAAGGAAACCGUGAUCACAGACGUUAACAGGCUGAAGGAAAGCCAAGCCAAGAAGAGGGUAUGUAUGUUUGUAAUGAGGAAUCCAUUCACAGCGUAGCUCUUCUGUUGGCAUUCAUAUGUAAAUGACCACACACACAGAUUUUAUUUUCACUUAAUAAUUGCCCACCUCUUUCACUAAUAUGUUUUUGUCAAUGCCACCCAAGCUUAUAUUCACAGAUUGCAUAUUUAAUAUAUUCCACUGUGGUAGCAACUGAUGUUAGCAAUUAUUUCAUCUCAUUUUU
Molecule: long non-coding RNA, 870 nt
Organism: Megalops cyprinoides (Indo-Pacific tarpon)
Lineage: Eukaryota; Metazoa; Chordata; Actinopteri; Elopiformes; Megalopidae
Exons: 5
Source: RefSeq, a predicted model, not a curated record